CUCGAGUCAUCCUAAUGCACCAGCUGGACCAAUUUCUUCCUCUCCAACUCAGAGAGAAGAGGGUGAAUCUGUAUCUACAAUCUCGGUACCCACUCCAUUAUCCCCUCCCAUGAAUGUCCGGGAAGAAUCUUUACGGUCAAUUACACCACAAUCAUCUGAUGUCCAAGCUGAUCCAGCAUUUGCUUCAGCUUCUGGAUCUAGUGUUCUUGCUUCCAAUCAACAUGAAAAUUCAUUGCACAAUAGGAGGUCUCCUAAUCAGUCUUCC
This 265-nucleotide unclassified non-coding RNA is filed under the name Hevea brasiliensis (rubber tree). The record is from RNAcentral. Lineage: Eukaryota; Viridiplantae; Streptophyta; Magnoliopsida; Malpighiales; Euphorbiaceae.